This 481-nucleotide ribosomal RNA is filed under the name uncultured bacterium. RNAcentral's name for it is "bacterial SSU rRNA". It matches the Rfam family "Bacterial small subunit ribosomal RNA", at positions 28 to 507 of the family's 1533-position model. The record is from RNAcentral.
GAUGAACGCUGGCGGCGUGCUUAAUACAUGCAAGUCGAACGAAGCACCUUGGACAGAAUCCUUCGGGAGGAAGACCAUUGUGACUGAGUGGCGGACGGGUGAGUAACGCGUGGGUAACCUGCCUUGUACAGGGGGAUAACAGUUGGAAACGACUGCUAAUACCGCAUAAGCGCACAGUACCGCAUGGUACGGUGUGAAAAACUCCGGUGGUACAAGAUGGACCCGCGUCUGAUUAGCUAGUUGGUGAGGUAACGGCCCACCAAGGCGACGAUCAGUAGCCGACUUGAGAGAGUGAUCGGCCACAUUGGGACUGAGACACGGCCCAAACUCCUACGGGAGGCAGCAGUAGGGAAUAUUGCACAAUGGGGGAAACCCUGAUGCAGCGACGCCGCGUGAAGGAAGAAGUAUUUCGGUAUGUAAACUUCUAUCAGCAAGGAAGAAAAUGACGGUACUUGACUAAGAAGCCCCGGCUAAAUACGUG